UACGUAGGGUGCGAGCGUUAAUCGGAAUUACUGGGCGUAAAGCGUGCGCAGGCGGUUUUGUAAGACAGAGGUGAAAUCCCCGGGCUUAACCUGGGAACUGCCUUUGUGACUGCAAGGCUUGAGUGCGGCAGAGGGGGAUGGAAUUCCGCGUGUAGCAGUGAAAUGCGUAGAUAUCAGGAGGAACACCGAUGGCGAAGGCAGGUCUCUGGGCUGACACUGACGCUCAUGCACGAAAGCGUGGGGAGCGAACAGG
Molecule: ribosomal RNA, 253 nt
Filed under: uncultured bacterium
Lineage: Bacteria
Description: partial 16S ribosomal RNA
Rfam family: Bacterial small subunit ribosomal RNA
Source: RNAcentral